This 497-nucleotide ribosomal RNA is filed under the name uncultured bacterium. RNAcentral describes it as "partial 16S ribosomal RNA". It matches the Rfam family "Bacterial small subunit ribosomal RNA", at positions 28 to 507 of the family's 1533-position model. The record is from RNAcentral.
GAUGAACGCUGGCGGCGUGCCUAAUACAUGCAAGUCGAGCGAACAGACGAGGAGCUUGCUCCUCUUACGUUAGCGGCGGACGGGUGAGUAACACGUGUAUAACCUACCUAUAAUACUGGGAUAACUUCGGGAAACCGGAGCUAAUACCGGAUAAUAUAUUGAACCGCAUGGUUCAAUAGUUAAAUACGGUUUUUCUGUCACUUAUAGAUGGAUCCUCGCCGCAUUAGCUAGUUGGUAAGGUAACGGCUUACCAAGGCGACGAUUCGUAGCCGACGUGAGAGGGUGAUCGGACACACUGGAACUGAGACACGGACCAGAGUACUACGGGAGGCAGCAGUAGGGAAUAGUACGCAAUGGGCGAAAGCAUGACGGAGCAAAGCCGCGUGAGUGAUGAAGGUCUUCGGAUCGUAAAACUCUGUUAUUAGGGAAGAAAAAAUGUGUAAGUAAAUAUGCACGUCUUGACGGUACCUAAUAAGAAAGCAACGGCUAACUACGUG